RNAcentral lists this ribosomal RNA (381 nucleotides) under uncultured bacterium. RNAcentral describes it as "bacterial SSU rRNA". It matches the Rfam family "Bacterial small subunit ribosomal RNA", at positions 28 to 402 of the family's 1533-position model. The record is from RNAcentral.
GACGAACGCUGGCGGCGUGCUUAACACAUGCAAGUGGAGCGACGAACCGGGCUUCGGCCCGGGGCAGAGCCGCGAACGGGUGAGUAACACGUGGGUAACGUGCCCCGAUGACUGGGACAACCCGGGGAAACCCGGGCUAAUACCAGAUGUGCCCUUCCGCCACGAGGCGGUCUGGUAAAGGUAGCUUCGGCUUCCGCAUCGGGAUCGGCCCGCGGCCCAUUAGCUUGUUGGUGGGGUAAAGGCCUACCAAGGCGACGAUGGGUAGCUGGUCUGAGAGGACGAUCAGCCACACUGGGACUGAGACACGGCCCAGACUCCUACGGGAGGCAGCAGUGGGGAAUCUUGCGCAAUGCGCGAAAGCGUGACGCAGCAACGCCGCGU